Molecule: ribosomal RNA, 217 nt
Filed under: uncultured bacterium
Lineage: Bacteria
Description: partial 16S ribosomal RNA
Rfam family: Bacterial small subunit ribosomal RNA
Source: RNAcentral
UACGAAGGGGCUAGCGUUGCUCGGAAUUACUGGGCGUAAAGCGCACGUAGGCGGUUUCUUAAGUCGGGGUGAAAUCCUGGAGCUCAACUCCAGAACUGCCUUCGAUACUGGAGAGCUCGAGUCCGGAGAGGUGAGUGGAACUGGCGAGUGUAGAGGUGAAAUUCGUAGAUAGUUCGCAAGAACACCAGUGGCGAAGGCGGACUCGACUGGCCCGGUA